UAAGUCACGUCUUCUUGAGGAUCAUCUUGUACGACCCGUCUAUCGACCACAUUCACCAAGGAAAGUUUCCGACCUUCAAAAGUCAGACCUUACUGGCUCAGAUUUUAGCCAUUCCGAUUUCACAAAUUCAUCUCUCAAGGAUUGCCGUUUCAUCAAGUGUGUCAUGCUGUUUGUAAAGCUAGGUGGGGCGAAGAUGUCUGGUUCAAAAUUUUGUGACACAUUAAUCAGUCACAGUAACUUGGAAAAACUGGAAGCUGAUCACUACGAGUGGACGAAGACGUCGCUUCUUUGGCGAAUGUUACUGAAAGGCGCACACCUAGACUUUGUAAAACCCAGUAUAGGUGACAAUUGUUUGUAUGGAACCAAUAUUAGCAACGCCAUACUGGAAACAACAAGGAAUUGAACUGCAACGAAGGUCAGUAUAAAUAAAGGAGGUUUUAAAAUUGACAUGCGUAUAUUGCACCCAUUUUAGUAUUGACCGGUCAAUAAAUCUUUCAUUGCGGACCGGUUGCGAACAUGACGUUUUGUGGACCGGCACGUGACAUGGUCUUGACCAAUCGGCAAACAGAAAAAUUGAACUUUGACACUAACUAUAUAACAAAUAUAUAUUUAAAAAAAAAUCUUUAAUUUCUUUUAUGAAUUAUUAAUGAUUAUGAGGUGUGUUGGUCAAGGCCGUAAGUAAUAUACAUACACGGUUAGCAAGGUUCUAAAUUUCUUUGUUCUAAAUUUUCGUGUAAGGAUCACUGUUGAAAAACUUUCUAUUGCUCUUGACUAGUGCAUGCAUCUAAUUUCUGGUUAUCUGUUGAUUUUUUAACAGCGACAGUUUAGAAAAAGAAUUUUUAAAGAUGUGUCACAUAAAAUUGAUUGGAAUUGACGAAUUAAGGUACAGUCUGUGAAGAGACUAGUAAGAGAGAUGUGUAUUUUUUGUAUAUAUACACCAUUUGCGG
Non-coding RNA from Paramuricea clavata, 947 nucleotides. Lineage: Eukaryota; Metazoa; Cnidaria; Anthozoa; Malacalcyonacea; Plexauridae. The record is from the annotation of a GenBank genome assembly.